This 482-nucleotide ribosomal RNA is filed under the name uncultured bacterium. RNAcentral describes it as "partial 16S ribosomal RNA". It matches the Rfam family "Bacterial small subunit ribosomal RNA", at positions 30 to 507 of the family's 1533-position model. The record is from RNAcentral.
AUUGAACGCUGGCGGCAUGCUUUACACAUGCAAGUCGAACGGUAACAGGCCGCAAGGUGCUGACGAGUGGCGAACGGGUGAGUAAUGCAUCGGAACGUGCCCAGUCGUGGGGGAUAACUACUCGAAAGAGUAGCUAAUACCGCAUACGAUCUAUGGAUGAAAGCGGGGGACCGUAAGGCCUCGCGCGAUUGGAGCGGCCGAUGUCAGAUUAGGUAGUUGGUGGGGUAAAGGCUCACCAAGCCAACGAUCUGUAGCUGGUCUGAGAGGACGACCAGCCACACUGGGACUGAGACACGGCCCAGACUCCUACGGGAGGCAGCAGUGGGGGAUUUUGGACAAUGGGCGCAAGCCUGAUCCAGCAAUGCCGCGUGCAGGAAGAAGGCCUUCGGGUUGUAAACUGAUUUUGUACGGAACGAAACGGCUCUGGUUAAUACCCGGGGCUAAUGACGGUACCGUAAGAAUAAGCACCGGCUAACUACGUG